GACGAACGCUGGCGGCGUGCCUAAUACAUGCAAGUUGAGCGCUGAAGGUUGGUACUUGUCCCAACUGGAUGAGCAGCGAACGGGUGAGUAACGCGUGGGGAAUCUGCCUUUGAGCGGGGGACCACAUUUGGAAACGAAUGCUAAUACCGCAUAAAAACUUUAAACACAAGUUUUAAGUUUGAAAGAUGCAAUUGCAUCACUCAAAGAUGAUCCCGCGUUGUAUUAGCUAGUUGGUGAGGUAAAGGCUCACCAAGGCGAUGAUACAUAGCCGACCUGAGAGGGUGGUCGGCCACAUUGGGACUGAGACACGGCCCAAACUCCUACGGGAGGCAGCAGUAGGGAAUCGUCGGCAAUGGACGAAAGUCUGACCGAGCUACGCCGCGGGAGUGAAGAAGGGUGUCGGAUCGGAAAACUCUGUUGGUAGAGAAGAACGUUGGUGAGAGUGGAAAGCUCAUCAAGUGACGGUAACUACCCAGAAAGGGACGGCUAACUACGUG
Molecule: ribosomal RNA, 497 nt
Filed under: uncultured bacterium
Lineage: Bacteria
Description: partial 16S ribosomal RNA
Rfam family: Bacterial small subunit ribosomal RNA
Source: RNAcentral